AGCCCCGAGGUGUAUAUACACAUAAGAUUGCAAAUCUUAAGUAGCCGAUUAAUUUUUGCCGGGGCUU
RNAcentral lists this transfer RNA (67 nucleotides) under Hippocampus kuda (spotted seahorse). RNAcentral's name for it is "tRNA-Cys". The record is from RNAcentral. Lineage: Eukaryota; Metazoa; Chordata; Actinopteri; Syngnathiformes; Syngnathidae.